AUGAGCACUAGAGGGGAGAUGUCUCCCCGCCGCCGGAGCACCUCUCCGCCGCCGCCCGCCUCUCUCCCAGACGACAUGCUCGGGGAGAUCCUCCUCCGCCUCCCGCCGCGGCCGUCCUCCCUCCCCCGGGCCUCCCUCGUCUCCAAGCGCUGGUACAGCCUCGUCGCCGAUCCCCAAUUCCAACGCCGCUUCCGCGACCACCACGGCAAGCCCCCUCUCCUUGGCUUCUUCCUCCAGGAAUCUCCGUCCUCUGCGUUUGUUCCAAUACUGGAUCGACCAGAUCGCAUCCCCCGCGGUCGCUUCUCCAUGCCUCUCAGCGAGGGUACCCACAUCGUCGACUGCCGCCACGGACUUGUCCUUUCGCUCAGCCGAAGCCCGCCGCACCGCCUACUUGUGUGGGACCCCGUCGCCCGCGAGCAGCGCCGGCUCGUCUUUCCGCCAGAGCUGGACAACGACCAGAUGCUCCGCUUCAACGGCGCGGUGCUUCGCCCUGCCCGCAGCCAAGGGAGCCAUUUCCAGGUGGCCCUGAUAGCUCAUUAUAAAGUUGGUAAUCCUUGUACAAGAGUUUUCGCAUGCCUUUACUCAUCGGAGACCGGGAUAUGGAGCAAAAUCAACUCACUGCAGCUGCAAUCGUCUAUAUCUCUGUUAGGACCAGGACCCAGUACUUUGAUUGGGAAUUCCCUUUGCUGGUUACUUUGGGAGCCUUCUGACAAUUAUGUCAUACUUGAGUUUGAUCUGGAUACGCAGAGCCUAACUGAGACAGAGCUGCCACCACAAGUAGAAGCUCCCCUUUUGAAGUUAAGGAUUGUGCCGACCGAAGAUGGUGGGCUUGGCUUCAUCCAUCUCUCAGGAUUACACGGCCAAUUAUGGAAGAGAGAGCCUGGUUCUGUAUGGGUGCUCGACAGAGCUAUUGAAUUCGAGGAGCUCAGAUCCGUUUGUAAGGGAGACCGAUACCCCCGGGUAGUGGGAUUUUCCGAGGACAGUAAUGCAAUCCUUCUACAGACGAAUUCUGGUGUUUUCAUGGUCUAUCUCCGGUCCAUGGAGUUUAAGAAAAUUUCCAAUAUGGGGGUCAUCCGUCUCCGAUGUCCAUUUGCAUGCUUCUAUCCUGCAGGUACUGGCAUUGGUGAUGUGCAUGGUGGAGAUGACGUGUUAGAAUAUGUGAAAUGGUUGUUUGUUGAGACAUGCUAG
Molecule: ribosomal RNA, 1188 nt
Filed under: Triticum aestivum (bread wheat)
Lineage: Eukaryota; Viridiplantae; Streptophyta; Magnoliopsida; Poales; Poaceae
Description: partial small subunit ribosomal RNA
Source: RNAcentral